Molecule: long non-coding RNA, 1767 nt
Filed under: Oncorhynchus mykiss (rainbow trout)
Lineage: Eukaryota; Metazoa; Chordata; Actinopteri; Salmoniformes; Salmonidae
Description: lncRNA (ENSOMYG00000077064.1)
Source: RNAcentral
AUGUUAAGGUUAGAGCUAAUGUUACGGUUAGAGCUAGGGUUAUGUUUAGAGCUAGGGUUAGAGCUAGGGUUAUGUUUAGAGCUAGGGUUAGAGCUAGGGUUAGGGUUAGAGCUAGGGUUAGAGCUAGGAUUAAGGUUCGAGCUAGGGUUAGGGUUAGAGCUAGGGUUAAGGUUAGAGUUAGGGUUAAGGUUAGCGCUAAUGUUACGGUUAGAGCUAGAGUUAGGGUUAGUUUGUUUGGUGGAGCAAACAAAGAGACACGGAGGAAGGCCGGAGAGAGAAGCUAUGAGCAGCAGACCAAGACGCGACUGUGGACUUUGUUGUAAACAGAAUAUCGUGCGGCUAGACCGACAUUUAAAGGCUGUACAUGGACUUAAGUUUGGUACUAUGGAGUGGACGAACGCUAUGCAAUUUAGCCGGUUUUCGAGUGAGAGACAGCAGCCCGAAUCGGGGCAGUAUAUGCAGCCUGACAACGGUGUUGAACCGCGGCCGGAGGACCCUGUGAUUUUGGAGUGUUUUGAAAGUGAGUUGUCCGUGGAGCAGCAGCCUGUGGACGAGGGUGAUCAGACGGCAGGUGCGUCGGCGGCGGCGGUGCAGCCAGUCAGUCAGGUCGGUAGUGAACUGUGCUCGGAUCCGAGGGAGCAAGGCUGUGACGUGGCGACUUCCACGGAGAGCGAGAGUGAUGAGGACGGCGGCGGCGUACCGUCCCGAAUGGAGGUUUGGAGUAAUGUAAUUUUGACUCAAUAUGAACAAUAUAUUACGGGUAGACACCCUUCAGUUAAACGAAUUGACAAUAGUCGCACCAGUAUAUCCCGAGUACGGGAAUUCCUCCGCAUUAUGUCAGAGGGCAAGGCCGAUGAAGGACUGUGUUUUCUGGAUAACUACAGACGUGUGUAUGAGUGGUAUGGUCAAUGUGAUGACCGUGGUUUGGCACCAUCCACGUUAAAAAUGUACCGGGCCGAUGUUCGAGGUUUCCUGAAUUAUCUCAUUCAGUUCCGGCCAAAUGGUAUGCAAGCUAAGGUCGUUGGAAUUCGAAAGAUGUUACUCUGCUUGGCGAAGAUGGACAGGGACUCACGGCAGAGCCAGGCAACUCAUAGGGCAAAAUUCCGCCAACGCUGCAGGGACGAGGUGCUCAGCGCUGCGGAGUUAAAACGCUUUGUUGAGCUAAGCAAUCAAGCCAUUCCUUCAGUUCUCAGUAGGCUGGAGGUCCGUGCCACCUGCUCUGACAGGCGUAGGUUUGCAGCUCUCAUGUCCAGCCGGUUGGCCAUAUUUAAUGGCACUCGACGAUCCCCAGUCACCAUGUUUAGUGAGAGUGAUUUCAAUGAAGUAACCCCGGAAGGUGGGGGUUAUCAGAUGUGUGUAGCUAGCCACAAAACAAACUAUAGCUUUGGGGAGUGCAGAAUUGUUCUAUGUCAGGAGGAAUACACUUGGCUUAAACGAUUCCAUCAAAUCAGGCCUCAUCUGAGUGGAAUGACCUCAGAAAUAGAACUCUUCUUUUUCACAUCCUGCGGUCAACCUUACGGUAAUCUGUGUGAGUAUGUGGGGCAAAUCUUUGCAGAGUUUGGUAUUGGAAGUAAAGUGACCUUCGGUACAAUUCGACGCAGUGUUGCCACAUUGAACUUUAACCAAGGCUCGGAUACAGACCGAGGAACUGUGGCUGACCAUAUGUGUCACUCUCUGGAAACGCAGGCACGCCACUACCGGUACCACAAUUUGCCCAAAAAUGCCAGCCGGGCCCGGGCACUGAUUGAGGGACAAAUCAAUAAAUGA